This 535-nucleotide ribosomal RNA is filed under the name Bifidobacterium adolescentis. Its description in RNAcentral is "partial 16S ribosomal RNA". It matches the Rfam family "Bacterial small subunit ribosomal RNA", at positions 155 to 701 of the family's 1533-position model. Lineage: Bacteria; Bacillati; Actinomycetota; Actinomycetes; Bifidobacteriales; Bifidobacteriaceae. The record is from RNAcentral.
AAAAGGUGGUAAUGCCGGAUGCUCCAGUUGACCGCAUGGUCCUCUGGGAAAGCUUUUGCGGUAUGGGAUGGGGUCGCGUCCUAUCAGCUUGAUGGCGGGGUAACGGCCCACCAUGGCUUCGACGGGUAGCCGGCCUGAGAGGGCGACCGGCCACAUUGGGACUGAGAUACGGCCCAGACUCCUACGGGAGGCAGCAGUGGGGAAUAUUGCACAAUGGGCGCAAGCCUGAUGCAGCGACGCCGCGUGCGGGAUGACGGCCUUCGGGUUGUAAACCGCUUUUGACUGGGAGCAAGCCCUUCGGGGUGAGUGUACCUUUCGAAUAAGCACCGGCUAACUACGUGCCAGCAGCCGCGGUAAUACGUAGGGUGCAAGCGUUAUCCGGAAUUAUUGGGCGUAAAGGGCUCGUAGGCGGUUCGUCGCGUCCGGUGUGAAAGUCCAUCGCUUAACGGUGGAUCCGCGCCGGGUACGGGCGGGCUUGAGUGCGGUAGGGGAGACUGGAAUUCCCGGUGUAACGGUGGAAUGUGUAGAUAUCGAC